UACGUAGGGGGCGAGCGUUGUCCGGAAUCAUUGGGCGUAAAGCGCGUGUAGGCGGCCCGGUAAGUCCGCUGUGAAAGUCCAGGGCUCAACCCUGGGAUGCCGGUGGAUACUGUCGGGCUCGAGUCCGGAAGAGGCGAGUGGAAUUCCUGGUGUAGCGGUGAAAUGCGCAGAUAUCAGGAGGAACACCAAUGGCGAAGGCAGCUCGCUGGGACGUGACUGACGCUGAGGAGCGAAAGUGUGGGGAGCGAACAGG
RNAcentral lists this ribosomal RNA (253 nucleotides) under uncultured bacterium. RNAcentral's name for it is "partial 16S ribosomal RNA". It matches the Rfam family "Bacterial small subunit ribosomal RNA", at positions 524 to 776 of the family's 1533-position model. The record is from RNAcentral.